UCCGAAAUAGCUCAGCGGUAGAGCGGAUGGCUGUUAACCAUUAGGUCGGGGGUUCAAAUCCCUCUUUCGGAGCCA
This 75-nucleotide transfer RNA is filed under the name bacterium. Its description in RNAcentral is "tRNA-Asn". It matches the Rfam family "tRNA". From Rfam's summary of the family: Transfer RNA (tRNA) molecules are approximately 80 nucleotides in length. Their secondary structure includes four short double-helical elements and three loops (D, anti-codon, and T loops). The record is from RNAcentral.